UACGAAGGGUGCAAGCGUUAAUCGGAAUUACUGGGCGUAAAGGGUGCGCAGGCGGUUCUGCAAGUCAGGCGUGAAAGCCCCGGGCUUAACCUGGGAAUGGCGCUUGAAACUACAGGACUGGAGUAUGGCAGAGGGAGGUGGAAUUCCACGUGUAGCGGUGAAAUGCGUAGAGAUGUGGAGGAACACCGAUGGCGAAGGCAGCCUCCUGGGCCAAUACUGACGCUCAUGCACGAAAGCGUGGGGAGCAAACAGG
RNAcentral lists this ribosomal RNA (253 nucleotides) under uncultured bacterium. RNAcentral describes it as "partial 16S ribosomal RNA". It matches the Rfam family "Bacterial small subunit ribosomal RNA", at positions 524 to 776 of the family's 1533-position model. The record is from RNAcentral.